This 577-nucleotide ribosomal RNA is filed under the name Pseudoalteromonas sp. Its description in RNAcentral is "bacterial SSU rRNA". It matches the Rfam family "Bacterial small subunit ribosomal RNA", at positions 556 to 1134 of the family's 1533-position model. Lineage: Bacteria; Pseudomonadati; Pseudomonadota; Gammaproteobacteria; Alteromonadales; Pseudoalteromonadaceae. The record is from RNAcentral.
GGGCGUAAGCGUACGCAGGCGGUUUGUUAAGCGAGAUGUGAAAGCCCCGGGCUCAACCUGGGAACUGCAUUUCGAACUGGCAAACUAGAGUGUGAUAGAGGGUGGUAGAAUUUCAGGUGUAGCGGUGAAAUGCGUAGAGAUCUGAAGGAAUACCGAUGGCGAAGGCAGCCACCUGGGUCAACACUGACGCUCAUGUACGAAAGCGUGGGGAGCAAACGGGAUUAGAUACCCCGGUAGUCCACGCCGUAAACGAUGUCUACUAGAAGCUCGGAACCUCGGUUCUGUUUUUCAAAGCUAACGCAUUAAGUAGACCGCCUGGGGAGUACGGCCGCAAGGUUAAAACUCAAAUGAAUUGACGGGGGCCCGCACAAGCGGUGGAGCAUGUGGUUUAAUUCGAUGCAACGCGAAGAACCUUACCUACACUUGACAUACAGAGAACUUUCUAGAGAUAGAUUGGUGCCUUCGGGAACUCUGAUACAGGUGCUGCAUGGCUGUCGUCAGCUCGUGUUGUGAGAUGUUGGGUUAAGUCCCGCAACGAGCGCAACCCCUAUCCUUAGUUGCUAGCAGGUAAUGCUGA